CGGGAAUGUGCGCUUCGCUUUUCUCAACCAUUCACUGGAGUUAGUGAUGACGAACGGUUUGUCUGUUCUGUAGGAGCUAUUCAACGUACCGUAGUCUUUAGUUUUUUUUGGCGCAACAUUACAACAUUAAGAAACAAGACAAAUUUAAAAAAGAGAACAAAGCAACAAAGUAAGCGACUAUAAGGAACAGUUGUUCUACUAGGCCGAUUUGCAUGACAGGGUCGGCUAUAGACAAUACUGCGUGCGAUGGAUGAAGAUCCUGUGACAGCACCUAACCGAUUUGGAAUAAGUUAGCUGGAUGCCAGUAAUAAUAAUAUUAUGCAGCUUUCAAGUUUUUUUUUUAUUAAUUCCGCUGAUUUAUGCUUCACACAACUGAGCCUAUAAGGAGGUUUAAUAGGAGUUUAUGUGUGCGUUUACCAUGUGAAACUGCACUGCAUUUUUGAUAUUUCCUAUUUAUUCAUUUAUUGUGUUGUUUUAUCCGUUUAUUUAUUUAUUUUUUUUUUGUUCCGUGUUAGUAGCCAGCCAGAGAUACAGCGGGAAAAGUCGUUGUGCAGAUAUUUAGAGCAGCAUUAGAUUGAAGAUAAAGACCAAGAGUUGUUAUUGCACGGUAUCAUUGUAAGAUACAGACGGCAAGGCGCCAAUAUUAUUGAAACGAGUCCUAUUAUGGUACCAGUAAUUAUUAAUGUACAUAAGUAACCCGGAUACUCCGACCCAGACUCUAUCUGAUGGCUUUGAGAAUCUCAGAAUUCAUCUCUAAUGCGAAAUUUUAGUUUUGAACUUUUCACUCAAAAUUCUAUUGGGUCUCCUUUUCAACUCCCAAAUAUCAAAAAUUUUCAACUCUGGGGAAACUCUAAUAAUUACAUAUGAGUAGUUUAUAUACAUUCCGAACUAAGGAAAUGGGCGCUGUUCAUAAAUUAGUGUCUUAGAUAGUCUAUUCACAAGUCUGAUAUCAAAUAGGCCUGUACAAGCACUUAUUGAACUUGAACUGUUUGUGUGAACUCAUUCUCUAGGUACCACAAAAAAAGUUUUCAGCAGCAAUUCACAUAGCUACUCCAAACCAGGUGUAAUAAUAUAAUGGGUAUAUAUCUGCUAAUUUAUUAAGCUGUUUGAUCUCAUCUAGAAUGUUUUGAAGUAUAAGUUAAUUUCAAAGGACAGUUCUUUGAUUGAGCUCUUGUGUCCUUCGAUGAAGUGAGGACGGACGCUAAAUGUCCUUUAUUUCUAGCAUCUAUUCUGCGAUAAAAGCUGCAAAAUAUUUAAAAGUAUAUAUAUAUAUACAUAUUAAAAAUAAUAACUGUACAAUAUACAUAACAAAAUAAUCUUGUAGGUCCGGGAUGGCGACUCCGAAACUGGCCAACUUCAGUUGAAAUGUUGCCAGUGACGACGAGCUAAGAUGACGUGUCGAAGCUAAUUUGUUGAUGAACUGAUGAAUUAGGUCAUUUUACACAUGGUGGUGUAAUGAAUGUCUCAGACAAAUUGCAAGACGCAAGUAGACUGUCAUUGCUUUUCUGGGAUAAAUUUCUUAGUACCAAUGGCUUUUUAAAACGUCGCAAAGUGCCUGGAAAUAUUAACAAUUUUUUGCCUGCUUUAUCCGGAUCCGGACGGUUUGUCUGUUCUGUAGGAGCUAUUCAACGUACCGUAGUCUUUAGUUUUUUUUGGCGCAACAUUACAACAUUAAGGGGUUCCGGCAAAUCAAGAUUUUAAGUGUCGAUAAUCGCGAGAUAAACAACAUAAUCAAAAAGGUUGAAGCAAGGAACUUCCGAGAUAAAAGAACAAUCUUUUAUGAAAUCCAAUUUAAACCUAAACCAAAGUUUGAUUCCCCGAUAUACUGCAUGGUUUGACAAUUGUGUGGAUCAUUGUUGUACAAAGAAAUAUCGACUAUAGACUGGGGAAUUUACGUUUGCAAACAUGCGACGAUAGUCGUUACACAGGGAAACAAGACAAAUUUAAAAAAGAGAACAAAGCAACAAAGUAAGCGACUAUAAGGAACAGUUGUUCUACUAGGCCGAUUUGCAUGACAGGGUCGGCUAUAGACAAUACUGCGUGCGAUGGAUGAAGAUCCUGUGACAGCACCUAACCGAUUUGGAAUAAGUUAGCUGGAUGCCAGUAAUAAUAAUAUUAUGCAGCUUUCAAGUUUUUUUUUUAUUAAUUCCGCUGAUUUAUGCUUCACACAACUGAGCCUAUAAGGAGGUUUAAUAGGAGUUUAUGUGUGCGUUUACCAUGUGAAACUGCACUGCAUUUUUGAUAUUUCCUAUUUAUUCAUUUAUUGUGUUGUUUUAUCCGUUUAUUUAUUUAUUUUUUUUUGU
Non-coding RNA from Styela clava, 2303 nucleotides. Lineage: Eukaryota; Metazoa; Chordata; Ascidiacea; Stolidobranchia; Styelidae. The record is from RefSeq and is a predicted model, not a curated record.